GACGAACGCUGGCGGCGUGCUUAACACAUGCAAGUCGAACGGAAAGGCCCUGCUUUUGUGGGUUGCUCGAGUGGCGAACGGGUGAGUAACACGUGAGUAACCUGCCCUUGACUUUGGGAUAACUUCAGGAAACGGGGGCUAAUACCGGAUAGGAGCUCCUGCUGCAUGGUGGGGGUUGGAAAGUUUCGGCGGUUGGGGAUGGACUCGCGGCUUAUCGGCUUGUUGGUGGGGUAGUGGCUUACCAAGGCUUUGACGGGUAGCCGGCCUGAGAGGGUUACCGGCCACAUUGGGCCUGAGAUACGGACCAGAAUCCUACGGGCGGCAGCAGUGGGGAAUAUUGCACAAUGGGCGGAAGCCUGAUGCAGCAACGCCGCGUGCGGGAUGACGGCCUUCGGGUUGUAAACCGCUUUCGCCUGUAACGAAGCGUGAGUGACGGUAAUGGGUAAAGAAGCACCGGCUAACUACGUG
Molecule: ribosomal RNA, 468 nt
Filed under: uncultured bacterium
Lineage: Bacteria
Description: partial 16S ribosomal RNA
Rfam family: Bacterial small subunit ribosomal RNA
Source: RNAcentral